CAAGGAGCCACCAUGGAAACACUGGGAGGAAAAGAGAAAACAGGAAGGCGAGGAGAGAUGGAGAAAAAGGCAGAAAAAGCUGACAGCCGCCUCAAUAACACAUCUGAGCAAGGGGAACAGGCUCUGAGGAGACAAAAGUGAACAUGACAAGCCCCAGGCCUCAUGGAGCUUAUAGUCGUGGAAGAGACUGACAGAUAUCAAGGUCACGCUGUUCCUAGGACUCUGUAUACUCACUAAAUGCAUGAACCUCAGAGCACUGAGUGAAGCCCAACGGGAGCAGCCAUUUGACCCAUGGGGUUGGCAUUAUUACAGUUUCCUUUUCUUUGUCCUGAUCCUCUAUUUCAAUUUUUUAUUAUUAUUAUUUUCAUGUGGGUCAAUUUAAGUUCUUUGUAGACAGAAGCAGUGGACUAUAUAGACAUAUAAAAAUAAAGAAACAUCUUCAUCUGGAGUUGAAUGACAAAUCCAAUCUCUUGGCUUGGUAUUGGUACUGAAGGGAAGACAAUAGCUUCAUCGAAAGUCACCAGUCUUGAGUCAUUACUACUAUUGUAGGAGCUUCCUAAAAGUGCUUGUCACCACUAUGACCACGGAGUAUGGACUCCAGUUUUAUCAGAAUUGUCUCAGUACAAGAAACCUCAAUUGAAGUUAAUUCAUUUUAAGAAUGGAUUUUAUGUACCACGGUAAGAAGAAAUUCUUCAGUAGGUCAAAUCCCUUACAGAAAAA
This is a long non-coding RNA of Equus quagga, 720 nucleotides long. RefSeq lists it as uncharacterized. The transcript has 4 exons. The record is from RefSeq and is a predicted model, not a curated record. Lineage: Eukaryota; Metazoa; Chordata; Mammalia; Perissodactyla; Equidae.